RNAcentral lists this ribosomal RNA (421 nucleotides) under uncultured Proteiniphilum sp. RNAcentral describes it as "bacterial SSU rRNA". It matches the Rfam family "Bacterial small subunit ribosomal RNA", at positions 356 to 774 of the family's 1533-position model. Lineage: Bacteria; Pseudomonadati; Bacteroidota; Bacteroidia; Bacteroidales; Dysgonomonadaceae. The record is from RNAcentral.
GAGGAAUAUUGGUCAAUGGACGCAAGUCUGAACAGCCACGGUGCGUGGAGGGAGACGGGCCUUCGGGUUGUAAAACUCCUUUUUAACGGGAUUAAGGGCCCCAGGGGGUGGGGUUUGGAUGUUCCGGUUGAAUUAGGGACGGCCAACUCCGGUGCCAGCAGCCGCGGUAAUACGGAGGAUCCGGGCGUUAUCAGGAUUUAUUGGGUUUAAAGGGUGCUCAGGCGGGGGGUUAAGGCGGCGGUGAAAUUUUGCAGCUCAACUGUAAAAGUGCCUUCGAAACUGGUUCCCUUGAGUGCGGAUGAGGUAGGCGGGAUUUGUGGUGUAGUGGUGAAAUGCAUAGAUAUCACGAGGAACACCGAUUGCGCAGGCAGCUUACCAAGCCGUAACUGACGCUCAAGCACGAAGGCGUGGGGAUCAAACA